GAUGAACGCUGGCGGCGUGCUUAACACAUGCAAGUCGAACGAUGAAGCCCAGCUUGCUGGGUGGAUUAGUGGCGAACGGGUGAGUAACACGUGAGUAACCUGCCCUUAACUCUGGGAUAAGCCUGGGAAACUGGGUCUAAUACCGGAUAGGAGCGUCCACCGCAUGGUGGGUGUUGGAAAGAUUUAUCGGUUUUGGAUGGACUCGCGGCCUAUCAGCUUGUUGGUGAGGUAAUGGCUCACCAAGGCGACGACGGGUAGCCGGCCUGAGAGGGUGACCGGCCACACUGGGACUGAGACACGGCCCAGACUCCUACGGGAGGCAGCAGUGGGGAAUAUUGCACAAUGGGCGGAAGCCUGAUGCAGCGACGCCGCGUGAGGGAUGACGGCCUUCGGGUUGUAAACCUCUUUCAGUAGGGAAGAAGCGAGAGUGACGGUACCUGCAGAAGAAGCACCGGCUAACUACGUG
Molecule: ribosomal RNA, 466 nt
Filed under: uncultured bacterium
Lineage: Bacteria
Description: partial 16S ribosomal RNA
Rfam family: Bacterial small subunit ribosomal RNA
Source: RNAcentral